RNAcentral lists this ribosomal RNA (396 nucleotides) under Roseomonas sp. F162. Its description in RNAcentral is "bacterial SSU rRNA". It matches the Rfam family "Bacterial small subunit ribosomal RNA", at positions 117 to 546 of the family's 1533-position model. The record is from RNAcentral. Lineage: Bacteria; Pseudomonadati; Pseudomonadota; Alphaproteobacteria; Acetobacterales; Roseomonadaceae.
GUAGGAAUGUGUCCAGAGGUGGGGGACAACCUUGGGAAACUGAGGCUAAAACCGCAUAUGAGCUGAGGCUCAAAGCAGCGAUGCGCCUUUGGAGUAGCCUGCGUCCGAUUAGCUAGUUGGUGGGGUAAAGGCCUACCAAGGCGACGAUCGGUAGCUGGUCUGAGAGGACGACCAGCCACACUGGGACUGAGACACGGCCCAGACUCCUACGGGAGGCAGCAGUGGGGAAUAUUGGACAAUGGGCGCAAGCCUGAUCCAGCAAUGCCGCGUGUGUGAAGAAGGUCUUCGGAUCGUAAAGCACUUUCGACGGGGACGAUGAUGACGGUACCCGUAGAAGAAGCCCCGGCUAACUUCGUGCCAGCAGCCGCGGUAAUACGAAGGGGGCUAGCGUUACUC